Molecule: long non-coding RNA, 775 nt
Organism: Apis dorsata (giant honeybee)
Lineage: Eukaryota; Metazoa; Arthropoda; Insecta; Hymenoptera; Apidae
Exons: 2
Source: RefSeq, a predicted model, not a curated record
AAGAUGUAGGUGCCCCAAGUGGAAAAUGCAAAUAUUGUUACAAGAAGCGUUAUAAUGCUAGGUCCUAUUCCAGCAAUUGCGAAAUCUCUGGUUUUUAUAUGACCUGCUGUAAUAGCAAUUGUAUUUGGUGGAGUGCCUACUGGUAGGUGAAAUGAAAAAGAACAACAUAAAGAGGCUGGCAGCAUCAAAUAUAGUGGAUGUAUUCGUAAAGCAAUACACUGAAACAACAUAUAAAUAUAUAGUAAAAUAAUAUUUGCAAUUGCAACAUUAGAUGUCAAUUCUGUGAUAGUUUCUGCAAAUAGGCAGACAAUAAAUAAUAUCGCAAAUGGAUUUAUUGAUUUCAAAAUAGUUAAAGCAUUUCCUAGAAUAGAAGAAAGGUUGGAAGUGGUACUUCCAGCUGAGAUAGCAAAUCCACCACCCAAAACUAAAAUCAAACUCCAAUGCAUCUUCGUAUUAAUCAUUUUCCAAGUAAUCAUGCCAGGCGAUGGUUUGGUUGGACGAUUAACAGGAUCCGCGUCGAAUGAUCGAAGGAAAUCCAAUUUAGAUGGUAAUAUGAAGAAAAGAAGAGUAACACCAGCGGCUGCCGUUGAAUCUUUAACGUGUCUAUAAAGAACUAGGUUGUUCGCUCAUAUGUCGUUGAAAUACAUUUUUAUAGUAAAAUACUAUUAUGUAGCAAAAGGCUAUAAGAAUGAUGAAAACAAACACGGAAACAAAAGUAUAUAAAGAUAUAAAAAAAAGAAAGAUUUAAAGAAUAACAAUAACAAUAAUAAAAAAA